GAUGAACGCUGGCGGCGUGCCUAAUACAUGCAAGUCGAGCGAACAGACGAGGAGCUUGCUCCUCUGACGUUAGCGGCGGACGGGUGAGUAACACGUGGAUAACCUACCUAUAAGACUGGGAUAACUUCGGGAAACCGGAGCUAAUACCGGAUAAUAUAUUGAACCGCAUGGUUCAAUAGUGAAAGACGGUUUUGCUGUCACUUAUCGAUGGAUCCGCGCCGCAUUAGCUAGUUGGUAAGGUAACGGCUUACCAAGGCAACGAUGCGUAGCCGACCUGAGAGGGUGAUCGGCCACGCUGGAACUGGAACACGGUCCAGACUCCUACGGGAGGCAGCAGUAGGGAAUCUUCCGCAAUGGUCGAAAGCCUGACGGAGCAACGCCGCGUGAGUGAUGAAGGUCUUCGGAUCGUAAAACUCUGUUAUUAGGGAAAAACAAAUGUGUAAGUAACUAUGCACGUCUUGACGGUACCUAAUCAGAAAGCCACGGCUAACUACGUG
This 497-nucleotide ribosomal RNA is filed under the name uncultured bacterium. RNAcentral's name for it is "partial 16S ribosomal RNA". It matches the Rfam family "Bacterial small subunit ribosomal RNA", at positions 28 to 507 of the family's 1533-position model. The record is from RNAcentral.